GAUGAACGCCGGCGGUGUGCCUAAUACAUGCAAGUCGAGCGCACUGGCCCAACAGAAAUGACGUGCUUGCACUGAUUUGACGUUGGAUUCCCAGUGAGCGGCGGACGGGUGAGUAACACGUGGGCAACCUGCCCCAAAGCGGGGGAUAACAUUUGGAAACAGGUGCUAAUACCGCAUAACUUGGAAAACCACAUGGUUUUCCAAUAAAAGAUGGUUUCGGCUAUCACUUUGGGAUGGGCCCGCGGUGCAUUAGCUAGUUGGUAAGGUAACGGCUUACCAAGGCGAUGAUGCAUAGCCGAGUUGAGAGACUGAUCGGCCACAAUGGAACUGAGACACGGUCCAUACUCCUACGGGAGGCAGCAGUAGGGAAUCUUCCACAAUGGGCGCAAGCCUGAUGGAGCAACACCGCGUGAGUGAAGAAGGGUUUCGGCUCGUAAAACUCUGUUGUUGGAGAAGAACGUGCGUAAGAGUAACUGUUUACGCAGUGACGGUAUCCAACCAGAAAGUCACGGCUAACUACGUGCCAGCAGCCGCGGUAAUACGUAGGUGGCAAGCGUUAUCCGGAUUUAUUGGGCGUAAAGCGAGCGCAGGCGGUUGCUUAGGUCUGAUGUGAAAGCCUUCGGCUUAACCGAAGAAGUGCAUCGGAAACCGGGCGACUUGAGUGCAGAAGAGGACAGUGGAACUCCAUGUGUAGCGGUGGAAUGCGUAGAUAUAUGGAAGAACACCAGUGGCGAAGGCGGCUGUCUGGUCUGCAACUGACGCUGAGGCUCGAAAGCAUGGGUAGCGAACAGG
Molecule: ribosomal RNA, 792 nt
Filed under: uncultured Lactobacillus sp.
Lineage: Bacteria; Bacillati; Bacillota; Bacilli; Lactobacillales; Lactobacillaceae
Description: bacterial SSU rRNA
Rfam family: Bacterial small subunit ribosomal RNA
Source: RNAcentral